UUAAAAUUAUUUAAUAAUUUGUAAUAAAUAUUUUUGAUAUUUUAUUUUCAGCAUUAUUUUCCCGAUAAUAUCAAGAUAAAAGCAUCAAUAUUUUAAAUCUCCUGAGAAUUCCGAUGGCUUAUCUUGUAAUUCUCUUCGGCCGAAUCGCCAUGAAAAGUGGAAACCAGGUUCGAGCUUGGGUACGCGACUUCCCCGCGAUCUCCCCUGUAACCCAAAGCUCUGUGGGGCCCACCGAUGUUUCUGUUACAUCCACUGCGUCCAUCCGUUUCGUCAGCUCAUUUUGAGAACAUAAGCUCAAAAAUGAGGGAUAUUGAAAACUCAAGUGGGCCACACACGCUAGGAUUGAACGCUCGCCAUUGAAACCUCAGUGGGGUGAAAGAAGUUUUGGAUGAGGGUUUAUAUUUGUGUUUUCCCUUCAUCCAGGUGGGAAUCACCUUAUGAACGGUUUGGAUAGCAUCUAAACCUCAUGGUGGGCCCAAGAAAGGUUGCAGUGGUCGGUGUCUCCAUCGCAACUGUUUCCUAUGGAAUGGCUUGCUUGUGUUUUGGAUCUCCCUCGGUUUUGAUCUCAUCUCCUAAAAUGAGCUGACGAAACGGUGAAGUGGAUAUGGCAUAAACAUCAUCGUGGUAGACCUAACAGAGAUUUGGGUUACAAGGGCCUGGGGAAGUCAUGGGCUUUGGUUUCUUGGAUCAGCAAGGUCGGGUUUAUAAAUAAAUGGGCUGGGCCUCAUGCAAGGCCCAUAUUUGGCCCGUUUUUAACUGGCAAAUGCCCAUGCCUCACUGUCACUGCCUCAUCCCAUGCCCCAAGUAAAGGCCCAUUCAGCACUCAGGUGGGCUACAUUACGGAAACAGUUGAGAUGGGAAUUGCCAUUAUUAAAAUCGUCCAGAUUGUGCGUGGGUUCCACUGUUGCCUGUAUAUGCAUCCAAUCCACUCAUUUGAUGGACCAUACCAGAAUGAAUGGAUUCCCCAAGAAUCAGGACGUUUCAAGACUCAUGUGGGCCACAUCAUGUGUGGCCCACCUAAGUUUUAGAUGGAACUGAUUUUUAGGAUCCAUAUUGAAAAUGUGGCAAUGCACUCUGUGGACAGUGUGUGGAUCUGAUGCAUGUUUGUCCCAUGCAGUGUUCAAUUGGCUCAGGUCAAGCACACCAUGAUUGGUGUGGCAGAACCGGAUAUCUUGACUUCUGAUUCUUGGAGUUGAAGAUGGGCCACUGAAAAUAUAUUUUUCUGUGUUCUGUGUAGAUAUAUCUAGCCGUUGUAAAGGUCAGAAUAUCCGUUUAGCAUAAGUUUCUCAUUGGACGGUCUGAAGUCCAAUAGCCCAAAUUCAAUAUAUAUGCGUUGGCUCACUUGAUGAGUAUAUCAUCCUUUGGGCAUUAUCUGACGAAUGGCCUCCCAGAUCACUCUUACUUUUGUUGUCCACCAAAUCUUGAACAUAUGUUCUGCCCCUCAUUGAAUCAUGGCCAUAUCUAGAAUAGGCUAAAUUGUAAAUUAUCCUCUGCCAAACGGGAUGCGCACAUUCAAAAUUAGGAAGUGCAGGACAGAGUUCAACAUAUUUAAUCUGUGUAAAAUGCAGGCUUCACUACCCGUAGGGGGGUGAGCCUACCACUUUUGUUGGGUGAACCGCUUUGUGUGCACAAGAUCCACGUUGUCGAUCAGUUGUGCCACCUAAUGUUCGGCCUCAACCCCAAACAUCACACCAAUACAAAACUCAGGUGGGCCUCACCAUAGGAAAGUGUCAAAUCAUGUCUAAAAGUUAGUGUUGCCCACCUUAGUUGAAUGUUCCUGUCAGGUGAUAAGAUUGAAUGGUAUAUAUAAGCUAAGGUGGCCCCACACACGCAACUAAUGGCGAGCAUCCCAUUCCCACUCUUUCAGACCAUGUUGUAAACCAGUCCAGUUUUUGGGU
Molecule: long non-coding RNA, 1898 nt
Organism: Magnolia sinica
Lineage: Eukaryota; Viridiplantae; Streptophyta; Magnoliopsida; Magnoliales; Magnoliaceae
Exons: 2
Source: RefSeq, a predicted model, not a curated record